Molecule: ribosomal RNA, 253 nt
Filed under: uncultured bacterium
Lineage: Bacteria
Description: partial 16S ribosomal RNA
Rfam family: Bacterial small subunit ribosomal RNA
Source: RNAcentral
UACAGAGGGUGCGAGCGUUAAUCGGAAUUACUGGGCGUAAAGCGCGCGUAGGCGGCUUUGCAAGUCGGGUGUGAAAUCCCCAGGCUUAACCUGGGAACUGCAUUCGAGACUGCAUUGCUAGAGUAUGGGAGAGGGAAGUGGAAUUUCCGGUGUAGCGGUGAAAUGCGUAGAUAUCGGAAGGAACAUCAGUGGCGAAAGCGGCCCUCUGGACCAGCACUGACGCUGAGGCACGAAAGCGUGGGGAGCAAACAGG